RNAcentral lists this ribosomal RNA (305 nucleotides) under uncultured bacterium T27107c. RNAcentral describes it as "partial 16S ribosomal RNA". It matches the Rfam family "Bacterial small subunit ribosomal RNA", at positions 28 to 337 of the family's 1533-position model. The record is from RNAcentral.
GACGAACGCUGGCGGCGUGCUUAACACAUGCAAGUCGAACGAUGAUGGAGAGCUUGCUCUUCGGAUUAGUGGCGAACGGGUGAGUAACACGUGAGCAAUCUGCCCUUGACUCUGGGAUAAGCGUUGGAAACGACGUCUAAUACCGGAUACNACCCUUGGAGGCAUCUCUGGGGGUGGAAAGAUUUNGGUCAGGGAUGAGCUCGCNGUCUAUCANCUANUUGGUGAAGUAAUGGCUCACCAANGCGACGACGGGUANCCGGNCUGAGAAGGUGANCGGGCACACUGGGACUGAGACCGGCCAGACC